This 717-nucleotide long non-coding RNA is filed under the name Pan troglodytes (chimpanzee). RNAcentral's name for it is "long non-coding RNA NONPTRT017269". Lineage: Eukaryota; Metazoa; Chordata; Mammalia; Primates; Hominidae. The record is from RNAcentral.
UCCACUUCCCUGAAAGAUGCUUUUCCACCCAUCCACCCUCAGCAGCCAGAGGGACCCCGGGAAGAUGGGAGUGAGAGCUGCCUUCGUCUGCAAAAGUCUCCAGACACCACCUCACUGGUGAAGGCCAGAGACCCUAAACUGUCCCAAGACCACCUGACUGGGCUGCCUCCCUGCCACCUGGCUGCCAGCCUCUCUCAGAGCGCCUGCAAGCUAUUCCUCCAACCCAGAGUUUCCUUCCCAGCUAAGGGCCUUUGCACCUGCUGUUCCUUCUGCCUGGAAGUUCACCGCAGACUAUCCCAGGGCCUCCAUCCUUCCCAUUGCAUGGUCCCCAUCAGCUGCCGCCGCCUCUGAGAGCUCAGUCUCCACUGGCCAUCCUGUCUCUCAGCCCACUGCACUCUCCACUCUGCCAGAAAGUCCCCCAAUCAGUGACAACACAGGUCAUGGUCCACACCUCACCUGGUUUGUCCCCAGUGCCCAGCAUCUGGCACCGAGCAGAUUAGGAAGCAGAAGCUAAGCGAAAGCAGAAUCAAGAUUCAAACCCAGGCACGGUGAAACCAGAGCUGUCCAACUGCUAGGAGAAAACAGGGCCUCAGAGAUGAUGGCUGAGCCAUGAAAAGGUGGGGUCAGAAGCCAGGCCCAGUCUCCUGAAUUCCAGACUCCAGAAUCUCCCCCAGGAUUGAGGUGUCCGGCACACUUCUCAGGAGGUCCUGAAACCAG